AGGGGGCUUGGGGGGAGCUGCUUCCUGUGGGGGACCCGUGCUAGAGCAGUUUGCUCCUGGGGGAUGGACCCCAUGGUAUGGAGCCGUGUGGGAGCAGUUCUUGAAGAGCUGCUGCCUGUGGGCAGCCCCUGCAGGCUCAGUUUGGGAAGGACGGCACCCCGUGGGAGGGACCCCAUGUGGAGUAGGGGCAGAGAGGGACCAUGAAGAAGCGGCAGGGACAGAGCAUCAUGGACUGACCACAGGCCCCAUUCCCCUGGACCACUCGGCGGAAGGAGGGAGAUGAAAGUGGAUGGCAGAAAGGUGGUUUUAGUUUAGCUUCUCACUGUUCUAGUCUACUAGUGCUAGGCAAUAUGUUAUUUUUAAUCUCCCAGUGUUGAGUCAGUUUUGCCUGUGACGAUAAUUGUGGAGAGUUUUCCCUGUCCUUAUCUCAACCCUUGAGCCCUUCCCAUCAUAUUUUCUCCCCCUUUUCUUUUGAGGAGAGGCAGUGAGAGAGUGGCUAUGGUGGAGUUCAGCUACCUAGCAGGGUAAAACCACAACAAAUGUAUAGAAGAAUGUUAAGUUUUUCUACAUUAUUAUAACAUGAACAGUUCUUUGAAUCACCUAUAUACCCUUGAGCAGAUAUUAGAGUAAAUAUCAAUGGUCAAUGGUUGUUACUGCAGUGGAUUCUGAACUUAUAUGAGAGAGUAAAACACUGAAGUAAUUUGGUUUGCAAAAGAUACCUAUGGUGGAGAGGUAAAAUAAAGAGGUCUACACAGUAUUACAAACCCUUCCACUAGUUCUUUCUGGUCAGAUAAGUAAGACCGUAUACACCAUCACUGAUUUUGAUAUGUUAUGACUUCUUUUUGUAAAGGUUGUAUCUCUAUGAAAAGGGCAGACACGAUUCUGAUAGAAUGUGGCAUAGGAAUUGCACCUCUUAGUGUUUGGAUGGGGACAGAAGGGCACUUCAGAAGACAAUCUCUGCUGCUGUUAUUAAGGACUUCCUACUGGACUUUUCCCUGAUUACGUGUUCUAUUAACUCACAUUGAUUUCAGUAAUUCACCUUGUAUUUUCAGCGUCAAUUCAACUUGAAACCUUUUUUAAGGAGGUGUUUAUCAGUGAAUUCUGUAUUAUCCCACUUUAAAGCUGGAACAACGAACUGCAGAGUUUAGUCUGCAUCUUUUUGAAAAUUUUUGGGAGAAGUUCAUACUGGAGUAUCAUCUGUUAUGAAGGGUCCUAGAGAAGCUGUCAGAAAUUAAAACAAUAUGCUCUGAUGGAAAGAAGGUUCUAUAAAAAGCAGUUUCCAGUUAAAUCUAUAUAGUUCCAAUAAUAGUUUCUGAUGGUGCUUCGUAACAAUUUCAAAGUGGAUGCUCUGAAUACACAGGAGUGCUAUAUCACAUUAUUUAGCAUUCACAUUCACAUGACACCAUAAAGACAAGUUGAAGUUGUCUUAGCAGCUAUUUAAACAAAUGCUCUGAAUAUGUAAAGUCACAUAGAAAACUGCUGAAAUAUUCUCAUUCUCUACUAUAUUUGAGAGAAUUUUUCCAGAAGUGCUUAUUAUCCAAAUAAUAGUUACAGAUUUAAGGGUGAACUUUUUGUCUUAGCAUAAAUUUGCACUCUACUGCAAAGUGCACUCAAUGCCUUACCAGGUACUGAAUUAAGGAUUGCAGGAUUCAGCAGCUCAUGCCUCUUUGCCCUCUUUGCGGCUGCUGCAUACAGCUAAUUCCUCCUGGGAAAACAAGCAGGCCAUCAGUUUGUUUACCAUCCAGUAAAGAUACCUGGCAGUUUCCUUGCACAAAAUGAGCUGCUCUCUUGUCAGGAAGAUGUUUGAUCCUCUCACAAGCUCUGCCAUCUGUUGAAUAAAUAUAGGCAUGUGAAAGUUCA
This 1860-nucleotide long non-coding RNA is filed under the name Anas platyrhynchos platyrhynchos (common mallard). Its description in RNAcentral is "lncRNA (ENSAPLG00000029750.1)". The record is from RNAcentral. Lineage: Eukaryota; Metazoa; Chordata; Aves; Anseriformes; Anatidae.